Molecule: small nuclear RNA, 192 nt
Organism: Suricata suricatta (meerkat)
Lineage: Eukaryota; Metazoa; Chordata; Mammalia; Carnivora; Herpestidae
Gene: U2
Rfam family: U2 spliceosomal RNA
About the family: U2 is a small nuclear RNA (snRNA) component of the spliceosome (involved in pre-mRNA splicing). Complementary binding between U2 snRNA (in an area lying towards the 5' end but 3' to hairpin I) and the branchpoint sequence (BPS) of the intron results the bulging out of an unpaired adenosine, on the BPS, which initiates a nucleophilic attack at the intronic 5' splice site, thus starting the first of two transesterification reactions that mediate splicing.
Source: Ensembl
AUUGCUUCUUGGCCUUUUGGCUAAGGUCAAGUGUAGUAUCUGUUCCUAUCAGUGUAAUGUCAGAUACUUCCUCUAUCUGAGGACAAUAUAUUAGAUAAAUUUUUGGAACUAGGAGAUGGAAUAGGGGCUUGCUGUGUUUGCUCCAGGCAUCAGCCUGGGUAUUGCAGUAAGUCCAAGAACAGUGCCCCCCUU